UGGGGAAUUGUUCGCAAUGGGCGCAAGCCUGACGACGCAACGCCGCGUGGGGGAUGAAGGUCUUCGGAUUGUAAACCCCGGUUGGGUGGGACGAACACUUUCGUGGUGAAUAGCCAUGGAGGCUGACGGUACCACCUGAGGAAGCCCCGGCUAACUCUGUGCCAGCAGCCGCGGUAAUACAGAGGGGGCAAGCGUUGUUCGGAAUUACUGGGCGUAAAGGGCGCGUAGGCGGCCUGUUAAGUCGGACGUGAAAUCCCUCGGCUCAACCGGGGAACUGCAUCCGAUACUGGAUGGCUUGAAUUCGGGAGAGGGAUGCAGAAUUCCAGGUGUAGCGGUGAAAUGCGUAGAUAUCUGGAGGAAUACCGGUGGCGAAGGCGGCAUCCUGGACCGACAUUGACGCUGAGGAGCGAAAGCUAGGGGAGCAAA
Molecule: ribosomal RNA, 426 nt
Filed under: uncultured bacterium
Lineage: Bacteria
Description: bacterial SSU rRNA
Rfam family: Bacterial small subunit ribosomal RNA
Source: RNAcentral